GAUGAACGCUAGCUACAGGCUUAACACAUGCAAGUCGAGGGGCAGCAUGCUGGUAGCUUGCUACCAGUGAUGGCGACCGGCGCACGGGUGAGUAACGCGUAUCCAACCUUCCCAUGACCAGGGAAUAACCUUGCGAAAGUAAGACUAAUGCCCUAUGGUUUCCUCAGCGGACAUCCAAAGAGGAAUAAAGAUUCAUCGGUGAUGGAUGGGGAUGCGUCUGAUUAGGUUGUUGGCGGGGUAACGGCCCACCAAGCCAUCGAUCAGUAGGGGUUCUGAGAGGAACGGUCCCCCACAUUGGAACUGAGACACGGUCCAA
This 316-nucleotide ribosomal RNA is filed under the name uncultured bacterium. Its description in RNAcentral is "bacterial SSU rRNA". It matches the Rfam family "Bacterial small subunit ribosomal RNA", at positions 28 to 334 of the family's 1533-position model. The record is from RNAcentral.